This 155-nucleotide ribosomal RNA is filed under the name uncultured bacterium. Its description in RNAcentral is "partial 16S ribosomal RNA". The record is from RNAcentral.
CACGGAGUUAGCCGGUGCUUAUUCGUAUAGUAUCUUCAGCUACCCUCACGAGAGUAGGUUUAUCCCUAUACAAAAGAAGUUUACAACCCAUAGGGCAGUCGUCCUUCACGCGGGAUGGCUGGUUCAGGCUUGCACCCAUUGACCAAUAUUCCUCA